GCCAUAUCAAUUUGAAACGCCGAUUCCCGUACGAUCAUCGAAGUUAAGUAACUUCGAUCCUAGUUAGUACUUAGAUGGGUGACCGCUUAAGAAUAGCAGGUGCUGUAA
Molecule: non-coding RNA, 108 nt
Organism: Acanthosepion pharaonis
Lineage: Eukaryota; Metazoa; Mollusca; Cephalopoda; Sepiida; Sepiidae
Source: the annotation of a GenBank genome assembly